Molecule: long non-coding RNA, 641 nt
Organism: Synchiropus splendidus (mandarinfish)
Lineage: Eukaryota; Metazoa; Chordata; Actinopteri; Syngnathiformes; Callionymidae
Exons: 3
Source: RefSeq, a predicted model, not a curated record
ACGGUGUGUGGGUGAAGCCUCCCCCUCGACUGCACACUCACACAGCCGGGCCGUGCAGCAGUGACGAUAGGGGGAGUCUGCUGUUAAUAAAUACUGCUUGUAAACAUUGGAGGGUCGCCAACUCUCGCGAGAACGGCCAAGCGUGUUGAGCCAACAGCUGCCAUGAACGAGAGAAAUAUCCCUCGCAAAACACAGCUAAAAGUUGGGUGUGCAACCAUAAUGAAGGAUCCCUAAAUUCCCCUCCCACCACCAGGUUCACCAUCGCCGAGCCAAGACAGAUCGGAACAAGAGUGGAGACUAACAGGAAAAUUCAACGUCUACAUGAUGAUAAAAGCGGCUCCUUCAGAAAUAAGAGGAAAUCUGCUCUGGAGCAAAACUGGUGAUAUUCGACAGGCAAACCCACGGUUAUUCAAAAGCUCCUCUUCACUGUCGACAUCGAAGGUAGGUUCACCUGUGACGUUGAAUGGACAACCUGCAAGCGACAAAAAAAUCAAGAUACAACAUGAAGAGCCAAUAGUUAUUGAGCACAUGACAUGACAUUGUGACAUUGUGGUCAUACUUUUUGUACAGUUGUACAGCUGAUUAACAGCAAUGAUGACUGAGUCAGCGUCCGUCAGAUACUCUUCCACAAAGGAGCUGUU